RNAcentral lists this ribosomal RNA (512 nucleotides) under Staphylococcus aureus. RNAcentral's name for it is "partial 23S ribosomal RNA". It matches the Rfam family "Bacterial large subunit ribosomal RNA", at positions 808 to 1324 of the family's 2925-position model. Lineage: Bacteria; Bacillati; Bacillota; Bacilli; Caryophanales; Staphylococcaceae. The record is from RNAcentral.
ACUGAGGGUAGCGGAGAAAUUCCAAUCGAACCUGGAGAUAGCUGGUUCUCUCCGAAAUAGCUUUAGGGCUAGCCUCAAGUGAUGAUUAUUGGAGGUAGAGCACUGUUUGGACGAGGGGCCCCUCUCGGGUUACCGAAUUCAGACAAACUCCGAAUGCCAAUUAAUUUAACUUGGGAGUCAGAACAUGGGUGAUAAGGUCCGUGUUCGAAAGGGAAACAGCCCAGACCACCAGCUAAGGUCCCAAAAUAUAUGUUAAGUGGAAAAGGAUGUGGCGUUGCCCAGACAACUAGGAUGUUGGCUUAGAAGCAGCCAUCAUUUAAAGAGUGCGUAAUAGCUCACUAGUCGAGUGACACUGCGCCGAAAAUGUACCGGGGCUAAACAUAUUACCGAAGCUGUGGAUUGUCCUUUGGACAAUGGUAGGAGAGCGUUCUAAGGGCGUUGAAGCAUGAUCGUAAGGACAUGUGGAGCGCUUAGAAGUGAGAAUGCCGGUGUGAGUAGCGAAAGACGGGUGA